This 70-nucleotide transfer RNA is filed under the name Phrynosoma platyrhinos (Desert horned lizard). Its description in RNAcentral is "tRNA-OTHER". It matches the Rfam family "tRNA". Rfam says of the family: Transfer RNA (tRNA) molecules are approximately 80 nucleotides in length. Their secondary structure includes four short double-helical elements and three loops (D, anti-codon, and T loops). Further hydrogen bonds mediate the characteristic L-shaped molecular structure. tRNAs have two regions of fundamental functional importance: the anti-codon, which is responsible for specific mRNA codon recognition, and the 3' end, to which the tRNAs corresponding amino acid is attached (by aminoacyl-tRNA synthetases). tRNAs cope with the degeneracy of the genetic code in two manners: having more than one tRNA (with a specific anti-codon) for a particular amino acid; and 'wobble' base-pairing, i.e. permitting non-standard base-pairing at the 3rd anti-codon position. Lineage: Eukaryota; Metazoa; Chordata; Lepidosauria; Squamata; Phrynosomatidae. The record is from RNAcentral.
CCAAGUGUGGUAUAGUGGUUUGAAUGUUAGACUAUGACUCUGGAGACCAGGGUUCAAAUCCCAGCUUGGA